UACGUAGGGUGCAAGCGUUAAUCGGAAUUACUGGGCGUAAAGCGUGCGCAGGCGGUUCGCUAAGACAGAUGUGAAAUCCCCGGGCUUAACCUGGGAACUGCAUUUGUGACUGCAUGGCUGGAGUGCGGCAGAGAGGGAUGGAAUUCCGCGUGUAGCAGUGAAAUGCGUAGAGAUGUGGAGGAACACCGAUGGCGAAGGCAGCCCCCUGGGCUAACACUGACGCUCAUGCACGAAAGCGUGGGGAGCAAACAGG
This 253-nucleotide ribosomal RNA is filed under the name uncultured bacterium. RNAcentral describes it as "partial 16S ribosomal RNA". It matches the Rfam family "Bacterial small subunit ribosomal RNA", at positions 524 to 776 of the family's 1533-position model. The record is from RNAcentral.